Long non-coding RNA from Ixodes scapularis (black-legged tick), 524 nucleotides. RefSeq lists it as uncharacterized. The record is from RefSeq and is a predicted model, not a curated record. The transcript has 3 exons. NCBI's taxonomy places the organism in Eukaryota, Metazoa, Arthropoda, Arachnida, Ixodida, Ixodidae.
CAUCUCUCCAGAAGAUGACUUAACUGGUGAACGCCCAAGUUCACCACCUUCCUCAGAGCCACCGAGCAUGUACCACAACGAUGAUCCUACAUAUGACCCUGCCUAUGAACCAUCGUACGACAAGAGUUCUGAAAUGCUCUUGCUUUUCACGCCAGCACCAUCCACCGCGAUGGAAGAGGGACCAUCGAGUGGCCCGUAACGGACUCCUGCUUGGAUGCAGAGAUGACUCGUCGCGGUCACUACAGCAACGGCGUAUCAGGUGACGCGGAAACCACCAACGGGAACAACACUGUGUUUUUUGAACUAAACCCUAUGUCACCGACAUACGCCGAAUGGUCAUCGGUAUCAGCGAGAUUCUGGAACAACGCCCCCCUCGAUUUGCGCUUCAGUGGGCACGGCAGCACCCGAGCGAUGCAGCCACGAAUGAACCUUUUCGUCUUUAUCGUGCAGCGAGGACGAGGAAACCGAUGAAGGCAACCCACAAGGGGAGAACAAGUACAUUGUGUAUGAAAGCUGCCUGCUUG